GGCAGCAGGAGCACAUAUGGUCCGAAAGAGACGAUUAAAGGAAGCUCCAAGCCCUGUGUUGCUGACAAGUGAUAACUGGCUUCUUUAGCUCAGAUCUGGAGGGUGCUCGUGAUUAGACUGGACACUAUCUAAGGUUCCUAGCUUCCCAAGUCAUCCCCUUUGCAUUCAGUUGCCCUGCAGGGCUUCACUCUUGGGAAUCACAUUGGGUUCUUUUGUGUUUCCUUGUUCCCUGCUAGUUUGUAUUGGCCUGACCCACUUCUCUGGAAGUGCAUCUUUUAUUUCCAGUUGGAGGCUGGAUUUCAACCUCCAGAUUUUCCAUAUCCACCUUGAUGAAUGCCAGGAAGAGUUCUAGCAUUGCACAUCUUACAGAUCUUGAACUCCAGAACCCACUAGAAAAUUUUUGAUCAUGGAACCCAUUUUUCAAGCGGUAAGAAUUUCCUUUCAAAGUUGCAUUUUCAUAGUUUUUCAAAAACCAAGUAUUAGAAAAUUGCAUUUGUCCUUCUAGCAUCCAGGUGAGUGACAUUACCCCUGCUAUACUGGGGAAGGAUUUUGGUAUAUAACAAGCCGCAGUAUAGGACUAGAAAAAUCUGAAGCUCUUGGACAUUUUGAGCAAGCAUACUGGAAUCUAAAAUACUUUUCCAUUUAUAUCCAGAGCUGGCCUUAAAAAGGUCUGUUGCUGCAUUUUAGGAUCAUGAAAUAUUUUUUCUGAUUCCUAUUACAGCAAGCCUGCCUGCCAGCAAGGGUCUUUCAACUAAGACUACUUUAUCAGCUUGCAGGUUGUAAAUGUCAAGCCAUAUUGCAGGGUACUUUCUGUUUUGCCUAGCUGACUAAGUUCAGUGGAGAAGGGUUGCCUCUGAAAACCAGUUCCUGGGAAUUGCAGCUAGGCAGAGUGCUGCUGCGUUUAUGUCCUGUUUUAGCUUCCAGGCUUCCCACAGACAUCUGGUUGGCCAUUGAUAAUAGGAUGCUGGACUAGAUCGGCCAUGGGCCUGAUCCAGCAGGCUCAUCUUACAUUCUUAAGGGUUGUAGCUUCCUGGAAAAGUGCAUUCUAUGUUUGCAGACGGUUCCAGACUGAAUCACCAACAUUACCAGUAACUGGGAAAGAGACAGAUCUCAGAUCUGAUGUUUUAGCAAAUUUCUCCUGCCGGUCACAAUUAACAAUAUUGGGCUAGAUGAACCUAUGAUCUGAUCCAGGAUAAGUGUCAAGAGCUGGAGUCAGGGGAAGAUCAGCAAUAAAACACCUGGUGUCAGUGAAGUUAAACCAAAACAUCACAGGCCUAGUGAUCACAGCAGCUCUUCCCGGUAGUUCUUUCCCCAAUGAAGUUGCGAGAGCUGAUUCUUGACUGUUCUCUGCCACAGCCUCUUGCUGCUCACUAAACCCUGUUGCCACUUUAGCUUUUGACACCUCCUCCUCCCUCUUCUCCCUCUGGCCACUCAUCGUUGUCCCACCACCAAUCCCCUGGCUCUGAGCCUUCUUCUUCUGGGGAUUUUCUGGGGAUUUCCCAGCUGAUGCCACCCACCGCUCUGCUGCAUCCGGCCAGUCCAUGAUAAUAAGGCAGUUUUGACUGUUCAGUGGGGCAAAAUGUUUCCCAUCAGGAUUUUACCUGGACCUAAGUGUGCAAUGCUUUUCCAAGUCUAGAUGGUGAUGGUACGAUGUGAGCUGAACCAAGACUCAGCUCCAGAAUCCUUGAGCAUGUCUCUGAGCAUGAGCAGUUAAUUUUUCUCACUAGUGACCAGACUAAUGACAGGGAGCAGCUACCAGUAUGUUUCUGAGCACAAUUCAAAGUGUUGGUGCUGACUUUUAAUGCCCUAAGCUGAGAAAAGUGAGGCUACAGGGAACCAGGCAGAGGGCCUUCUUGGUAGUUGUGCCUGCCCCAUGGAACGCCCUCCCAUCAGAUGUCAGGAAAUAAACAACUACAGUAGUACCUCGGGUUAAGUACUUAAUUCGUUCUGGAGGUCCGCUCUUAACCUGAAACUGUUCUUAACCUGAAGCACCACUUUAGCUAAUGGGGCCUCCUGCUGCUGUCGUGCUACCGGAGCACAAUUUCUGUUCUUAUCCUGAAGCAAAGUUCUUAACCUGAAGAAUCUGUAACCUGAAGCGUAUGUAACCCGAGGUACCACUGUAUCUGGUCAGGAAAGUUUUUUAAUGUUUGAUGUCUUACUGUGUUUUAAUUUGUUAGAAGCCACACAGAUUGGCUGGGGGAAUCCAGUCAUAUGGGUGGCAUGUAGUUGUUAUUGUUGUUGUUGUUGCUGCUGCUGCUGCUGCUGUUGUUGUUACACAGCUCUUUUUGACAAUAGGCCAAUGGCGGCCAUGCAUUUGACAUACAUGUGGCAUUAGUGCAAGGACGGGGAGCUUGUGGCCCUCCAGAUGCUGCUGGACUCCAUUCUUGUGUCUUAGCUCCCAUGUACCACUCAGUGGUUAGGGCCUCUCCCCCACCCAUGGAAAGUGGCCGAGUGUAAUUAUGCAGAAAGCUCCAUUGGAGCUAUAUCAAUAAGACAGACGUCUGUUGUAUCAUUCUCUCUCAGUAAGGCAUUUCUUCUCCCCAAUUGCUCAUAUAGAAUCAUAGCCUAAUAGCAUCCCAUUAACAUAAUUGCCAACACAACUAGUGUUCCGUGUCUCAGAGCCAUUUACUUACUUUACGAUUAAAAAAAACACCCCACGUACCAAAACCAGCCUGGAAAUCACACCAAGGAGGUGCACAGGGAGGAUACUUUGGCUGCUUGCCCCCCUUUUGGUGCCAUUUUGUUGUUUGAGACCCGGGUGUUGAAGGAUAAACACGGGAGAGGUGGGCUCAGCUGCAGGACGUGGGAUGCCGAGUAGUCGGACCAGACUCGUGAGCAGACGUGUGCUAAGAUCUAAACGGAUUCUGCCAGGCGAAAUGAAAUUCCCAUUAUUUUUAAUUAAUCCUUAAUUAAAAUAUAUUACUCCGCAGAUUCCGCAAAUCUCUCUUAAUAUGCAAAUGCAGCCCAUUCAAGGAUAUUUACAUAUCAUUAAUUAAAACGGCACAUUCUUUCAGUCUAACAAGCUGAGGGCCUUGGCUGCUGCCAUGCUGGCACACGGCAACUGGCCCUGGCAGUGCCAAGGCCAAACAGCAGAAAGAUGUUCAGUGUCAGCCACUCCACAAGGGGUUACAGCACUGCCCGUUCACCUCUAGAACCCUGGUUGCAUGCCCUGCCUUGGUUCAAGUGCUGUGUUCCCCCGUCAUGAGGCCAAGUGUGCCCUCCACAACAUGCAGCAACUGCAAGGUGCCCAAUUCAUUAUCUGUGGCAGCCUUCCCGUGACCUUGUACAAACAGCAGUUGCUAGGUUUGUCCAUGGUCUUUUUGGGGAGGAGCAUAAAUUAUAGGCUGUUUUAUGAAGUUAAAGGUAACCCUGAACUGAGCACCCUAAAGUGACCCUACACAUUAUAGAAGUGACCCUGAUUAAGAAAGUGGCUGACUUGGAUUUCAAAAGAUUGUCGUGCUUCACCUUUCCCUCAAGUAGUUUACCUGGGCCAUUUUUUUCUUGAGCCAGAGACUCAGGAGGAACAUCAUUUCUGAGAGCAAUCCUACAGGUGGAAAGUUGUGGCUGGUGGUUUCAUUUCCUAGUUUCACCCACCUGCUGCAGCUUGUCUCAGUGUGGUGAUGUCCAAGCAGACUCCAGAUAGAUUGGGGAGCAGAAGAGCCUGAGGGAGAGAGACAUGAUGGGGAUGGAGGUGCACAGCCUGAUGUACAUCAUUAACUUUGGUGAAGCGGAAAAUGAGUGGAUUUCCUCCCAUCCCCAAGCACCAUAUUUGAAAGUGUACAGAGGGGAAGGGAAGAGGCACUUGGUGUCUUCUCAGAAGUGACAAAAUAUAAUCUGCACUUCCGACUUUCAUAGUUUUGGGCAGCAUGAAAAAUGUGAAUUUGAAAAAUUCCUUACUAGCUUUUCAGCGAGCAGGUUAAUUUCAGAGAGCGUUUAUUUGAAGUUGAUGGAAAUUUAAAUCUGGAUAUUAAUUCUUGACUCUCAUUCUUGCCUUCGGUGAUGUGGGUAUGAAAAGAGUUGCUUUUUAUUCUUGCUUGCAGCUUACUAUUAUUCAGUUUUGCUUUUUGUGAAUUGCUCAAGAGUGUUGCUAUGGAACAAUAUAAAACCUAAUAACAGAACUGAUAAAUAACAACACUCCAUAAUGCAUGACAAGCUGGAUGAUGACUAGAGUGCAAUAAGUGGCAGAAGCAUUGCACCAAAACUGACCAAACGCUGGCCAGUGCUUAUCAUAGAGCCUUCUAGGUGGCAGUGUGGGCUGCAAAGAAAGCUCAUUUUGCACUGCAUCCUUGAGGAGCCGGUGGGCAGAACUAUUUUGGAUGGCCUGGAGGUUACGAACUCUCAUUGUAAGGGAAGGAUCUCUAGAACAAACUAUAUUGAUUGUCCCAUUGAUUGGGCUAAGUGGAAACAGGACCCCCUUUUAAUGAAACAGGGGAAAAAAUGCUGGCAGCACAAACACACACACACACACACACACACACACACACACACACACAGCAGUCUUUGGGUGAGCAUGGCAAAAAUGCUGACCUUCUUAAAGGUAACUUAAUAGGGGAAGUUUGCUCAUGGAGAACCUCAGUCUUCUCAGUUUUUGUUCAGCAUAGAUGCACAUACUUUCCUGGAACGGACUGAGAAUAUAUAUAUAUAUAUAUAUAUGAGAGAAACAGAGAGAGGGGAAUCAUAGAAUUGUAGAGUUGGAAGAGACCCAAAGGGUCAUUUAGUCCAAACCCCCUGCAAUGCAGGAAUCUCAGCUAAAGCAUCCAGGACAGAUGGCUACCCAACCUCUGCUUAAAAACCUCAAGGAAGGAGAGUCCACCACCUUCCAAGACAGUAUGUUCCACUGUCAAACAGCUCCUAUCAUCAGAAAGCUAUUCCUGAUCUUUAAUCAGAAUCUCCUUUCUUGUAACUUGAAGCCAUUAAUUUGAGUCCUACCCUCCAGAGCAGGAGAAAACAAUCUUGUUACAUCUUCCAUGUGACAGCCCUUUAGAUAUUUGAAGAUGGCUAUCUUAUCUCCCCUUAGUCUCCUCUUUUCCAGGCUAAACAUCCCCAGCUCCCUCAGCCAUUCCUCAUCAGGCUUGGUUUCCAGAUCCUUGAUCAUCUUGGUUGCCCUCCUGGUGCCCAGAACUGGCCACAGUACUCCAGGUAUGGUUAUGACCAAGGCAGAAUAGAGUGGUACUAUUUGAAUCAAACAAAACACAAUUUAUUGUGUACCAGUAGCUUUGCUUCUGGCGUUGCUUCGGAAUUCUAGCAAACCAAAAAAUCUGUGGUUAAAAUGAGUGCAGUUCAGUCUGCCAUCUUUAUUCUCAGCGGCAUCCAAAGAUGAAAAACUGCUUCUCCAUCUCAGGAACCAUAAUGCAAAAUUUGGUUACGAUAUCUUAAGAGGUUUCCAAAUGCAAAACAAACAUACAAACAACUUUCCAAAAUACAUAGUAAGUUGAAUGGAUGCAGAGAUACAUUCAUAUUAAAAAGUGUCUUUGAGCCAAGGAGUCCCUGGUUGAAAUGUUGCCUCAGCCAUGAACUCAUUUAGAUAAGGUUCAAGAGUUUAGUGACAUAAGCAAAUUGGAAAGGGGAACCUUCGCUCAUCACUGGAAUGUUUCACUCGCCUGUCUCAGUUAUACACUGCAGUUGCCAGACACUCCCGCAACUCACAUUGCCAGGCUUCCCUGGGUUCUCUCACACCCCAUUUGAUCCCCUCCCGAUCAGAGAGGCACCACUCUUUAGCUCCCGGACUCUGAUGCUGUGUCUCAAGGUCUGAGCCUUAGGGGAUCUUGCAAGCUUCCCUCCAAUUCCCCCCUAGAAGUAGCAUGGAGAGGGAGAGAGGUUGAAGUAAGCAAGGCUACUGGUAAAAUAUGGUGAUGGGAUAGUAUGAGAGAAGAGAGGAUCAUGCAAAAGUAUGCAGGAAAGGAUUUGAAUUAUUUCACAGGUAUGAGGAGCUGUAUACAUCUGACAAGCAAAGGAUUCCCAGCUUGCAUCUGCCAAAAUUCAUUUGCUACUAUUUAACAUUUAAUGUUAAAUUGUACUAUUCAAUGGCCCCUUAUCCUGGAAAGAAGUGAAGUGUCACAGGUUUCUGUCCUGGGCCCAUUGUUUGUCAACAUGUUUAUAAUGACUUGAAUGAAGGAAUUGAGGGGAUCCUCGUCAAAUUUGCAGAUGACACCAAACCAGGAGGUGUACCUAAUGCCACAGAAGGCAGAAUUGGGAUUCAAGAUGACCUUAGCAGAUUGGAGAACUGGGCCCAAAUGAACAAAAUGAAUUUUAAUAGUGACAAAUGUAAGGCUCUACACUUGGGCAGGAAGAACCAGCUGCACAAAUGUAAGAUGGUGGACACAUGGCUUGGGUCACAGUAGACCACAAGCUUCAAAUGAGUCAACAGUGUGACACAGC
Molecule: non-coding RNA, 6378 nt
Organism: Podarcis lilfordi (Lilford's wall lizard)
Lineage: Eukaryota; Metazoa; Chordata; Lepidosauria; Squamata; Lacertidae
Source: the annotation of a GenBank genome assembly